UGAUAUCUGGCCUUNGCAGGUCCGAGUUGUAAUUUGUAGAGGAUGUUUCGGGCAAGGCUGUGGUUUAAGUUUCUUGGAACAGCACGUCAUAGAGGGUGAGAGUCCCGUCUAGAACCGAUAGCCGCGUCCAUGUGAAGCUCCUUCGACGAGUCGAGUUGUUUGGGAAUGCAGCUCAAAAUGGGUGGUAAAUUUCAUCUAAAGCUAAAUAUUGGCCAGAGACCGAUAGCGCACAAGUAGAGUGAUCGAAAGAUGAAAAGCACUUUGAAAAGAGAGUUAAACAGUAUGUGAAAUUGUUGAAAGGGAAGCGCUUGCAACCAGACUUGCGUGUAGCGGUUCCCCCAGUCUUUUUGACUGGGCUAUUCCGUUAUAUCCAGGCCAGCAUCGGUUCGGGUGGUUGGUUAAAGGUCCCGGGAAUGUAUCCACCUCCGGGUCGACUUAUAGCUCAGGGCGCAAUGCGGCCCACCCGGACCGAGGAACGCGCUUCGGCUCGGAUGUUGGCGUAAUGGUUGUAAGCGGCC
Molecule: ribosomal RNA, 518 nt
Filed under: uncultured fungus
Lineage: Eukaryota; Fungi
Description: eukaryotic LSU rRNA
Rfam family: Eukaryotic large subunit ribosomal RNA
Source: RNAcentral